UACGAAGGGGACUAGCGUUGUUCGGAAUCACUGGGCGUAAAGCGCACGUAGGCGGAUUUGUAAGUCAGGGGUGAAAUCCCGGGGCUCAACCUCGGAACUGCCUUUGAUACUGCGAAUCUUGAGUCCGAUAGAGGUGGGUGGAAUUCCUAGUGUAGAGGUGAAAUUCGUAGAUAUUAGGAAGAACACCAGUGGCGAAAGCGGCCCACUGGAUCGGUACUGACGCUGAGGUGCGAAAGCGUGGGGAGCAAACAGG
RNAcentral lists this ribosomal RNA (253 nucleotides) under uncultured bacterium. Its description in RNAcentral is "partial 16S ribosomal RNA". It matches the Rfam family "Bacterial small subunit ribosomal RNA", at positions 524 to 776 of the family's 1533-position model. The record is from RNAcentral.